CAGCCGCCGCGGUAAUACGAGGGGUGCAAGCGUUAUUCGGAUUGAUUGGGUGUAAAGGGUGUGCAGACGGCUUAUUAAGUCACUUGUUAAAUUCUUCGGCCUAACUGAAGGUCUGCAAGUGAUACUGAUGAGCUAGAGGGUGGAAGAGAGAAGUGGAAUUCUCGGAGUAGCGGUAAAAUGCGUAGAUCUCGAGAGGAACACCAAUGGCGAAGGCAGCUUCUUGGUCCAUUCCUGACGUUCAUACACGAAAGCGUGGGGAGCGAACAGGAUUAGAUACCCGCGUAGUCCCUGUCUCUUAUAC
This 301-nucleotide ribosomal RNA is filed under the name uncultured bacterium. Its description in RNAcentral is "partial 16S ribosomal RNA". It matches the Rfam family "Bacterial small subunit ribosomal RNA", at positions 509 to 807 of the family's 1533-position model. The record is from RNAcentral.